This 64-nucleotide transfer RNA is filed under the name Apatania sp. YW-2014. Its description in RNAcentral is "tRNA-His". The record is from RNAcentral. Lineage: Eukaryota; Metazoa; Arthropoda; Insecta; Trichoptera; Apataniidae. RNAcentral also lists the same sequence under 1 other name.
AUUUAAAUAGUUUAAAAAAAAUAUUAAUUUGUGGGAUUAAAGAUAUAAUGUGUUAUUUUAAAUC